GACGAACGCUGGCGGCGUGCUUAACACAUGCAAGUCGAACGGUGAAGCUCCAGCUUGCUGGAGUGGAUCAGUGGCGAACGGGUGAGUAACACGUGAGCAACCUGCCCCUGACUCUGGAAUAAGCGCUGGAAACGGCGUCUAAUACUGGAUACGAGAAGGGUCCGCAUGGGCACUUUCUGGAAAGUUUUUCGGUUGGGGAUGGGCUCGCGGCCUAUCAGCUUGUUGGUGAGGUAAUGUCUCACCAAGGCGACGACGGGUAGCCGGCCUGAGAGGGCGACCGGCCACACUGGGACUGAGACACGGCCCAGACUCCUACGGGAGGCAGCAGUGGGGAAUAUUGCACAAUGGGCGAAAGCCUGAUGCAGCGACGCCGCGUGAGGGAUGACGGCCUUCGGGUUGUAAACCUCUUCAGCAGGGAAGAAGCGAAAGUGACGGUACCUGCAGAAGAAGCACCGGCUAACUACGUG
This 467-nucleotide ribosomal RNA is filed under the name uncultured bacterium. RNAcentral describes it as "partial 16S ribosomal RNA". It matches the Rfam family "Bacterial small subunit ribosomal RNA", at positions 28 to 507 of the family's 1533-position model. The record is from RNAcentral.